RNAcentral lists this transfer RNA (78 nucleotides) under Candidatus Bathyarchaeota archaeon. RNAcentral describes it as "tRNA-Asp". It matches the Rfam family "tRNA". From Rfam's summary of the family: Transfer RNA (tRNA) molecules are approximately 80 nucleotides in length. Their secondary structure includes four short double-helical elements and three loops (D, anti-codon, and T loops). The record is from RNAcentral. RNAcentral also lists the same sequence under 1 other name. Lineage: Archaea; Thermoproteati; Candidatus Bathyarchaeota.
GCCCAGGUAGUAUAGCCUGGCCUAGUAUGUACGGCUGUCACCCGUACGACGCGGGUUCAAAUCCCGCCCUGGGCGCCA